This 549-nucleotide ribosomal RNA is filed under the name Lasiodiplodia theobromae. RNAcentral describes it as "eukaryotic LSU rRNA". The stretch from base 174 to 327 matches the Rfam family "5.8S ribosomal RNA". Lineage: Eukaryota; Fungi; Ascomycota; Dothideomycetes; Botryosphaeriales; Botryosphaeriaceae. The record is from RNAcentral.
CCUCCCGUAGGUGAACCUGCGGAAGGAUCAUUCACCGAGGUUUUUCGAGCUCCGGCUCGACUCUCCCACCCUUUGUGAACGUACCUCUGUUGCUUUGGCGGCUCCGGCCGCCAAAGGACCUUCAAACUCCAGUCAGUAAACGCAGACGUCUGAUAAACAAGUUAAUAAACUAAAACUUUCAACAACGGAUCUCUUGGUUCUGGCAUCGAUGAAGAACGCAGCGAAAUGCGAUAAGUAAUGUGAAUUGCAGAAUUCAGUGAAUCAUCGAAUCUUUGAACGCACAUUGCGCCCCUUGGUAUUCCGGGGGGCAUGCCUGUUCGAGCGUCAUUACAACCCUCAAGCUCUGCUUGGAAUUGGGCACCGUCCUCACUGCGGACGCGCCUCAAAGACCUCGGCGGUGGCUGUUCAGCCCUCAAGCGUAGUAGAAUACACCUCGCUUUGGAGCGGUUGGCGUCGCCCGCCGGACGAACCUUCUGAACUUUUCUCAAGGUUGACCUCGGAUCAGGUAGGGAUACCCGCUGAACUUAAGCAUAUCAAUAAGCGGAGGAA